Molecule: ribosomal RNA, 756 nt
Filed under: uncultured Lysobacterales bacterium
Lineage: Bacteria; Pseudomonadati; Pseudomonadota; Gammaproteobacteria; Lysobacterales
Description: bacterial SSU rRNA
Rfam family: Bacterial small subunit ribosomal RNA
Source: RNAcentral
GCGGUUAUUUAAGUCUGUCGUGAAAUCCCCGGGCUCAACCUGGGAAUGGCGAUGGAUACUGGGUGGCUAGAGUGUGUCAGAGGAUGGUGGAAUUCCCGGUGUAGCGGUGAAAUGCGUAGAGAUCGGGAGGAACAUCAGUGGCGAAGGCGGCCAUCUGGGACAACACUGACGCUGAAGCACGAAAGCGUGGGGAGCAAACAGGAUUAGAUACCCUGGUAGUCCACGCCCUAAACGAUGCGAACUGGAUGUUGGUCUCAACUCGGAGAUCAGUGUCGAAGCUAACGCGUUAAGUUCGCCGCCUGGGGAGUACGGUCGCAAGACUGAAACUCAAAGGAAUUGACGGGGGCCCGCACAAGCGGUGGAGUAUGUGGUUUAAUUCGAUGCAACGCGAAGAACCUUACCUGGCCUUGACAUGUCCGGAAUCCUGCAGAGAUGCGGGAGUGCCUUCGGGAAUCGGAACACAGGUGCUGCAUGGCUGUCGUCAGCUCGUGUCGUGAGAUGUUGGGUUAAGUCCCGCAACGAGCGCAACCCUUGUCCUUAGUUGCCAGCACGUAAUGGUGGGAACUCUAAGGAGACUGCCGGUGACAAACCGGAGGAAGGUGGGGAUGACGUCAAGUCCUCAUGGCCCUUACGGCCAGGGCUACACACGUACUACAAUGGUCGGUACAGAGGGUUGCAAUACCGCGAGGUGGAGCCAAUCCCAGAAAGCCGAUCCCAGUCCGGAUUGGAGUCUGCAACUCGACUCCAUGAAGUCGG